UACGAGGGGGGCAAAUGUUGUUCGGAAUCACUGGGCGUAAAGGGAGCGUAGGCGGGUUUUUAAGUUAGGUGUUUAAUACCGGGGCCCAACCCCGGACCGGCACUUAAAACUGGGAAUCUUGAAUAGUGGAGAGGUCAGUGGAAUUGGGGGUGUAGCGGUGGAAUGCGUAGAGAUCCCCAAGAACACCAGUUGCGAAGGCGGCUGACUGGACACAUAUUGACGCUGAGGCUCGAAAGCAUGGGGAGCAAACAGG
This 253-nucleotide ribosomal RNA is filed under the name uncultured bacterium. Its description in RNAcentral is "partial 16S ribosomal RNA". It matches the Rfam family "Bacterial small subunit ribosomal RNA", at positions 524 to 776 of the family's 1533-position model. The record is from RNAcentral.